RNAcentral lists this small RNA (26 nucleotides) under Bombyx mori (domestic silkworm). Its description in RNAcentral is "ovarian small RNA-17683". Lineage: Eukaryota; Metazoa; Arthropoda; Insecta; Lepidoptera; Bombycidae. The record is from RNAcentral.
GUAUGGUUUGACCCUCCAGCUGUGGA